This 200-nucleotide ribosomal RNA is filed under the name uncultured bacterium. Its description in RNAcentral is "partial 16S ribosomal RNA". It matches the Rfam family "Bacterial small subunit ribosomal RNA", at positions 30 to 233 of the family's 1533-position model. The record is from RNAcentral.
AUUGAACGCUGGCGGCAGGCCUAACACAUGCAAGUCGAGCGGUUGAGGUAGCUUGCUACCGAUGCAGCGGCGGACGGGUGAGUAAUACAUGGGAAUCUGCCUGGUAGUGGGGGACAACGUUUCGAAAGGAACGCUAAUACCGCAUACGCCCUACGGGGGAAAGGGGGGAUCUUCGGACCUCUCGCUAUCAGAUGAGCCCA